ACUUAUUUCAUCACUCAGGUCCCUGCCUUUCAAGCCUGGCUGGACUAUUUCCAAUCCCUGCUAUUUGAUUGGUGCUGGACACAAAUGCAUUUACCUAGAACAUGAACUUGCUUAAUUCAACAUUAAUCAACUAAUUGGACUUUGGAUUCUUGACAUCCUAUUGUUUAACUUAACCAUUUAUGAAGAAGGAGAAAAAAGAAAGCUGGAAAUAAAACCACAGUAAGCA
Molecule: long non-coding RNA, 226 nt
Organism: Talpa occidentalis (Iberian mole)
Lineage: Eukaryota; Metazoa; Chordata; Mammalia; Eulipotyphla; Talpidae
Exons: 3
Source: RefSeq, a predicted model, not a curated record